This 254-nucleotide ribosomal RNA is filed under the name uncultured bacterium. Its description in RNAcentral is "partial 16S ribosomal RNA". It matches the Rfam family "Bacterial small subunit ribosomal RNA", at positions 524 to 776 of the family's 1533-position model. The record is from RNAcentral.
UACAGAGGGUGCGAGCGUUAAUCGGAAUUACUGGGCGUAAAGCGUGCGUAGACGGUAGCGUAAGUCAGAUGUGAAAGCCCCCGGGCUCAACCUGGGAACUGCAUUUGAGACUGCUCUGCUCGGGUGCGGAAGAGGGAAGCGGAAUUUCCGGUGUAGCGGUGAAAUGCGUAGAUAUCAGGAGGAACACCAAUGGCGAAGGCAGCUCGCUGGGACGGUACUGACGCUGAGACGCGAAAGCGUGGGGAGCAAACAGG